RNAcentral lists this ribosomal RNA (378 nucleotides) under uncultured eukaryote. RNAcentral describes it as "partial 18S ribosomal RNA". It matches the Rfam family "Eukaryotic small subunit ribosomal RNA", at positions 592 to 976 of the family's 1831-position model. The record is from RNAcentral.
CAAUAGCGUAUAUUUAAGUUGUUGCAGUUAAAAAGCUCGUAGUUGGAUUUCGGGUGGGACGCAGCGGUCUCGCAUUGCGUUUGUACUGCUGCAGCCCUCCUUCUUGCCGGGGGCGGCCUCUCGGACUUCACUGUCUGGGGGUCAGAAUCGGCGAUGUUACUUUGAGUAAAUUAGAGUGUUCAAAGCAAGCUUACGCUCUGAAUAUAAUAGCAUGGGAUAACACGACAGGACUCUGGCCUAUCGUGUUGGUCUAUAGGACCAGAGUAAUGAUUAAGAGGGACAGUCGGGGGCAUUCGUAUUCCGUUGUCAGAGGUGAAAUUCUUGGAUUUACGGAAGACGAACAUCCGCGAAAGCAUUUGCCAAGGAUGUUUUCAUUGA